Molecule: unclassified non-coding RNA, 617 nt
Filed under: Hevea brasiliensis (rubber tree)
Lineage: Eukaryota; Viridiplantae; Streptophyta; Magnoliopsida; Malpighiales; Euphorbiaceae
Source: RNAcentral
GGGGCAGAACAAACUGUCUUCUCUGUAGCAGCUGCCUUACACCACCAUAUAACUUGUAGGCUUCAAGAUCAUGUCAUAGAUUUAUCUCAGUCAAGAGUGUCCUCUGAUGCUCUAUUCAUCCUUGCAGACACAAAAACCACACCCACUAUUGUUUAGAUUCCUCGACAACUGUCUAAAGAAGAUUUGGUAAAGAUCAUUCCACGGGAAUGGUUUACCAACUAUGAAAAGUUGCAUGAUAAUUCCCGACCUAUCCAAGUGACAGAGCCUACAUUUCAUAGGUAAGCAAAUGGUACUGUUAAGACAGUUUUCAAGGAACUAGGAAGCAAUUCAUAAACUCUUGCAAUCUUCCAAACCAUGAUGAUCUCUUCAGUGUAAGGAAAAAGAGAAAAGAUUCCUGUUCACUCCUUUCGGGCAGAUGGAUGGCCAGUCUAUACAGAUAAAAUUCAUGGACAUUUCAUUUAGGAUGCUCUAGGUUCAGGAAUGUGUGAUGAAGGAUGUGACUGUCACCUAGAACAAUGGGAUGAUGAUGAUGACAGUUAUCGCAGUCGCAAGAAAGGGAAAAAGAAGCAAGACUCUCUCUGCAAAACCCUGAAACCUAGAAGGGACUCCUUUCCAGA